UACGGAGGGUGCAAGCGUUGUCCGGAUUUAUUGGGUUUAAAGGGUGCGUAGGCGGCCUUGUAAGUCAGUGGUGAAAGCCUCCAGCUCAACUGGAGAACUGCCAUUGAUACUGCAAGGCUUGAGUACAGACGAGGUUGGCGGAAUUGAUUGUGUAGCGGUGAAAUGCAUAGAUACAAUCAAGAACUCCGAUUGCGUAGGCAGCUAACUAGGCUGUAACUGACGCUGAGGCACGAAAGCGUGGGGAGCGAACAGG
This 253-nucleotide ribosomal RNA is filed under the name uncultured bacterium. Its description in RNAcentral is "partial 16S ribosomal RNA". It matches the Rfam family "Bacterial small subunit ribosomal RNA", at positions 524 to 776 of the family's 1533-position model. The record is from RNAcentral.